Molecule: long non-coding RNA, 1796 nt
Organism: Cyprinus carpio (common carp)
Lineage: Eukaryota; Metazoa; Chordata; Actinopteri; Cypriniformes; Cyprinidae
Exons: 5
Source: RefSeq, a predicted model, not a curated record
CAGUUCAAUACACAACUAUUAGCCUCUGUCAGACUGAUUAAACAAUUGAAGAUGAAGAGUGAAGAUGUCUGGACUGAGAGAGAGAGAGAGAGAUGCUAGACCUCAAACGACUCGCUCGUCUGCUCUCUCACCACCAUUCCAUUGCUUUUCAGUCAUCUAUUCAUCUGCUACCCCUCCCUCUACCUCUCGUUCGCUCCUGGACUAUGUUUGAUUCAUGCCAGAGAUGAUUCACACUCCACCAUAUCCGGCAUGAGGGAACCCUCACUCUCCAUCCAUAAUUCAGAACCCCUCUCUCUCUCUGUCGAUGCAUCGGGCAGAAGAUCGUGCCGUAUAUAAGGGGGGGAUCUGUGAAAGCACACAGCUGGCACCCCAGAGCUGAUAAGGAACCUGACACAGCAUUUCGUGCACUAGCUUAACAUCGAACCUUAUAACCAUGACCAUAAACACACCUCUGUAAACAGACCAAGGCUGCAAAGAUAUUCAUAUUCUGCCUCACUGCAGAACAAUCAACAUUGGAGCAGCUUGUAGGUGGCACAUGUGAUGAAAUAAUGAGGAAGUCAUGUUUUGGAUCAAAAAUGCUUUGCAUUUUCAUCACUGUGAUUUUCUCUCAGGUCUGUCAGAGGCUGGACACACAAAUAGCUCAAGGCACCGAAGAUCGCACUGCAGUUUUUCCUGUAACUAGUAGAUUGAUGGAAAGAACACUGUAUGUUUCAGCAUGUGUUUUCACACAGCGACAGAACUCAUACACCUCGGUUGGUUAUUUUAAGAGUCAUUAUGUAGUUAAUCAUGGAGCAGGAAAGUGACUUAACAGCUGUUUCAUGUGCAGCAAGGCUACAGAGUGUUUCUCAUGAAAUACAAGCCAGCUGAUGAAUGUUCUUUACUUGUUAAAUAUCUUUCUAUCUGUCUGUCUGUCUGUCUGCUUUUUCAUUUACUCAUAGCUUUUUUUAAGCCUUCGUGUUUUAUAAUGAAGGAUGCACAUUAGGUCAUUCAUGUUUGUUUGUAUAAUUUAUCAUCUUUGUUUUGCCACAGAUAAUGAUGGGAAUUUUGGCACACAAAUCUGGUUAAACACCCUAAUGUGUAAAAAAAAAAAACAUGGUAACACUCAUUAACUUUACAGGUGUUACAGGUGACUGUCAACAGAGAAGCCUUCUAGCAACCAAACUGUGGGGGUUGAAUGAUGCUGUGCAACUGUGCAUUUGUUCUGUAGUCGUACAAUUAUCAACAAAGAAAACAAUUUACCGUGUUUUGAACACCUGUUACUGCAAACUUUGUUGAACAGGGGCCUGUUCUUCGUGUCUCACUAAAUACAUCUGAGUUGAUUUGAAAGAUGCCAGAUCUUCUAAUCUUGAUAACUGAUCUCUGGCUAAUUUGGUUCUUCAAACGGAUUUGCGGAUUUGAUUAAAAUAUCUGGAUUAAGUUGUCUAAGAUUACUGUGCAAGUGUGCGUUCUCGUGUUCCCCGUAAAGGGCAGAUGUAUUGAUACUCAAAACCACAAUCAGCAAUGCAGCAAUUGGCUGGUGGCAAGACAGCUAAUUAAUGAAAUCAUAUAAUUAAAAAAGCGACCCGACACAAAGCUUGAAAAAUUUCUGGACCUUUAUAAGAAAACAGCCAAGUGAACAAAACUAGAUGAAUGAAAUGUGCACUGUUUUUAUUUUAUUUAUUUUAUAUAUAUUUUUGCAUGAUUCCCAAUUAUUUAUAUUCACAAUUACUAGUAUUUGUACAAGCUUUACAUUUUUAGUUCAGUGUUGUAAUAAGCAAUUCAUGUAAUUUUAUCUUUGAAGCAGACUUGUUAUGUGA